Molecule: unclassified non-coding RNA, 296 nt
Filed under: fungal sp.
Lineage: Eukaryota; Fungi
Description: partial internal transcribed spacer region
Rfam family: Eukaryotic small subunit ribosomal RNA (bases 1-46)
Source: RNAcentral
AAGUCGUAACAAGGUUUCCGUAGGUGAACCUGCGGAAGGAUCAUUAUCACGUAUCCACGUAUAAACCAUAUUGAAUCGUUUCCCUUUGGGACAGAGCGAAAAGCAAUUAUGAAGGACUGUGGCCUUCGCUUUUCAACGCUUUGUCUCAUUGCGGUAUCCUUUAACCACAGUUAAUAUUAACGCCUUUAUUUUAUUGAACUGAUCUGGAGUCUUUUAACAAAGGCUCUAAUUUAUUCGAAUUAAAAACAAUUCUUAACAACGGAUAUCUUGGUUCCCGUUUCGAUGAAAAACGCAGC